AGUGAUGACCAGUGAGGCCAGAACAGAA
RNAcentral lists this non-coding RNA (28 nucleotides) under Rattus norvegicus (Norway rat). The record is from RNAcentral. Lineage: Eukaryota; Metazoa; Chordata; Mammalia; Rodentia; Muridae.